This 273-nucleotide ribosomal RNA is filed under the name uncultured bacterium. RNAcentral describes it as "partial 16S ribosomal RNA". It matches the Rfam family "Bacterial small subunit ribosomal RNA", at positions 524 to 796 of the family's 1533-position model. The record is from RNAcentral.
UACAGAGGUCCCAAGCGUUGUUCGGAUUCACUGGGCGUAAAGGGUGCGUAGGUGGCCGGGAAAGUUCGAUGUGAAAGCUCGGAGCUCAACUCCGAAAUGGCAUUGAAUACUAUUCGGCUCGAGGGUCGGAGGGGAGACUGGAAUUCUCGGUGUAGCAGUGAAAUGCGUAGAUAUCGAGAGGAACACCAGUGGCGAAGGCGAGUCUCUGGACGACUCCUGACACUGAGGCACGAAAGCUAGGGGAGCAAACAGGAUUAGAAACCCCCGUAGUCC